Globicephala melas (long-finned pilot whale) is the source of this 3855-nucleotide long non-coding RNA. RefSeq lists it as uncharacterized. NCBI's taxonomy places the organism in Eukaryota, Metazoa, Chordata, Mammalia, Artiodactyla, Delphinidae. The record is from RefSeq and is a predicted model, not a curated record.
GCCUGGGUGCCAUCCACCGUACAGGCUCCCCUUACACACUUCGCUUUGCCCAUCGACACACGCACGCUAGCGCAUCAGCCACUGUCUCAGAGGCCGAGGGCACCACAUACGCAGAGGUGACCGAACUGAAUGGCCACGUCACCUGCCAUACCGGCGCCAGAGGAGGUCAGCGCAGUCACACUCAGGCCUGGGACCCCCCCCGCACACCUGACGUGUCACUUCGUGGCCCUCAGAGCAGGGGGCUGGCACCUGCACUCCUACUGUUCCUUCGCCCCCGCAGGCAGCUCCAAGACCCAGAGGAGGCCUGUGGGCAGGUGGGGACCUCUCUAGGAGAGAGACAUCUCUUGGCAGAUGGAGAAUUUUCUUUCUUGACCCUCCGUUGGAACCGAAAAUAAAGCAAGAUACAGGAUCAGGAUCAUAGUUUUACUUGACUUCUUUUCCCGUCAGUCUGGCUCCCGCCUGGUCUGUUGCUGUGGACGUCUGGAGAAUGUGAAUGAGCUGGCCGUGGCCACUGCUGAGCCCUCCAUCUCCCCAGGCUGAGAGUGAGGCUUUGCACGGACCGGGCCAGGGACGCAGGUUUGCUCUGGGUUUCUAGGUUUCCUGGCAACAGGAAAAUCUUUAAAAAUGCUAAACCCUGAAACCCAUGGUAGUGAAAAGGCCCUGUAGACUCCUGAGUCCUGGAAAAAGUCCCAGGAUUCCUCUCAUCGGGCUGAUGGUGUUAAUAAGAACCAGAGCAUCAGAGAGGUGGGCUGCGAGCCCCUCAGAGGGACCCAACUGAGCACCAGUUCCUGCCUCACUCUGGGAGUGAAAUCAGGAAGCGGCAGAGAAAGGAGAAGCCUGUUUCUUCCAGCAGGCAGCUUUCCCUCUGGACACUGGACGCUUGUGCACACACCCCAGCUGAGCUCCACGCUCCCUAACUCCUGUGGGACCCUCGGCCUCCGCUGCAGCUUUCAGCCUGAGAGGGAGGAUGCCCCGGCCUCUGUGCAAGCACCCUGCUCUUGGACGGGCUUGCCUCGAGAGGGAGAGAACCUGGGAGAGAACCACUUUCCUCAAGUCCUAUCAGGACCCAGGAACACAGGACCCGGGGUUGGAGAGCACCGCGGAACACAAGACAAGGACCUGGCCAGAGUUACCCGUUCUCCACCGGCCUCCCGUCCCCUUUGCUGUCCUACCAGGAGGCAGAGCACCGCGGAACACAAGACAAGGACCUGGCCAGAGUUACCCGUUCUCCACCAGCCUCCCGUCCCCUUUGCUGUCCUACCAGGAGGCAGGGAGGAGGGGCCCCAGCCAGAAUGCCGGCCUUCCCCAGAGGGCCCCCAGGGACAUGCUGGGAAGAAAGAACCCGAUUCACUGACCAAUACUGGUUUCAUUUCUUAAAUUAAUUAUCCAAUUCUUGGCCAUCAAAUUGUAACAUUCUAGAGAGAGCCAGGAAGGCACACUUGGCGCCAAGGGCUGUGUUGAGCCUUCUUACUCAGGGACGGCCUCAGCGCUGGGUGGCCAAGGUCCUGGGCUUGUAGACAGGGACAGCCUCGUCCCAGAGAGCCGGCCGCCCCUUGAUGAUGUCGGCCGCCUUCUCUGCGAUCAUGAUGGUGGGGGCGUUGAGGUUGCCGCUGACCACGCUGGGCAUGAUGGAGGCGUCGACCACCCUGAGGUUUUCCACCCCGAGGACCCUGGUCUGCGGGUCCACCACUGCCAUGGGGUCGGAGGGCUGGCCCAUCUUGCAGGUGCACGAUGGGUGGUAGGCGCUGUCUGCCUUUGCCCGCACAAAGGCGUCUAUCUCCUUAUCCGACUGGACGUGGCUUCCUGGCUGGAGCUCCUUCCCCCGGAACGGCGCCAGAGCUUUCUGUGCAAAAAUUUCUCUGGUCAGCCUCACACACCGACGGAAGUCAUCGAUGUCCGUUUCUGUCAAGGAGAAGAAACAGGUUACAUGCCUCCUCUUACCAUGCUGGCCUCGCUGGAAGAUCCGCCACCGGGAGAGGCUCAAGAAGCUGCCCGAGGGGACACGGUUCAGGGACACGGAGGUCCAAGCCACCAGGUUGCCUGUCACCUACCCAUCAGCAGUUACAGUGCAACCGAGCAGAGUCCCACGAAGCCCAAACAGACAGCAUCCUAGACGGACACAGCUUGCCCCGGAGGCCCUACGUUUAAAUCGGAGAUCUGAAUUUUCUUAUCUAUAAGAUAGAGAGAAGACUACACGUCCUGCCUCUGCCACAGCACACUCCGGGCAGCUGGAGAGCAGGGCACCGCCUUCUGGACUGCCCACCCUGGAGGCCCUGCUGCAGUGGGGAGACGACCUGCUCACCUGGACCUCCUGUUGUGAGACACCUCAGGCAAGAGGCUAUCAUCGUGCCUGGCCAAGGCGAGUGGUUUUGGUUAAUGGUUCCCUAACAACUCGAGAGCCCACUCUCGGGCCCUGGAAGGGGUCUCCCUUCCUGCAACAGCUGGCGACUCUGGUGGAAUCUCUUCUUUACCACGACCGACAUCCUGACUGCUCAGGCACCAGCUCACCUAGCGACGGACCAGACCCAGAGGCCACCACUGGGACCCUCUUGUCUCUGAUCUCCUCCUGACGCAGAUGACUGGCCAGAGUGCCCCGCCCAGGCAGUUAAGCUGAUGCUUUGCAAAACUGCUUCAUCUUCAAGAAGAUUCACAGAAAGGGCUUUAGACAAGUACAGGUUUCUGAUAACUUUUAAAUCAUACUACUAAACUAGGUAAGACUUUUUUUUUUUGAGUAGCUAUUUUAUUUAUGUCUUUUAUUUAUUUGUUUGUUUAUUUGUUUAUUUAUUUAUUUUAUUUUAUUUUUGGCCGCACUGCGAGGCAUGUGGGAUCUUAGUUCCCCGACCAGGGAUGGAACCCUUGGCGUCUGAACCACUGGACCGCAGGGGAAAUCCCAGGUCUAUCUGGAAUACCAUGACAAUAUUCCGGCUACCCAGAUGCAUACACAACAUGAAAUACUGUCUCAUCCAUAGGCUCAUUUAUUUCACUAACGGCGGUAAUACUAAUAAUUUUCAUAAUUUGAGAGGCAUUAGCAUCAAAAUGAGAAGUCUCAACAGUAAAGCUAACAUAUCUCCCGGGAGAAUUCGGGAGGGGCAAAAGAAGGAGGAGAAGACCAAUCUCCCAGAGUCCUUCUCGCUGGAAUCCAUCUUGGCUGAGAGACGCACGCACCACCAGGAAGGACCCUGAGUCAGACGAUGGGCCAAGCGAGAUGACUGGCCAGAGACAACCCAGAAACUAACCCAUUACCAUAAAACUGGAGCCUGCGAGGCACGUGGCAGAGCGGUUCUCCUGGGUUCCCCCAGGCUCUCUGCCUUGGGGUUCCUUCCCAAUAAAGUCUUUUGCUUUGUCAGUACGUGUGUCUCAUCGGACAGUUCCUUUCCGAGUGUUAGACAAGAGCUUACUCUCCGGCCCUGGAAGGCCCUGCAACACCUGCACCGCCUCCUCCUCAAGGUGCUGCAGUCUCCCUGGCCCAACAAAUUCAUUCUUCAAGCACACCCAAUGCCUAGCCCCGGGGCCUUUACACGUAUUCUUCCUGCCUAACAGACCCCCUGCCACCAUUCUCCAGUUUAACAUCCUAAUUAUUCCUUCACUGUACUUAAAACUUAGCAUGUUUACUUAGUUUCCUUCCAUUGUCUCCACUAGAGCGUAAACUCCCUAAGAAAACCUGCCUUAUUAGCACUUCUCACCGUGUAGCACAGCACACGGUAGGUGUGCGAGAAAUGCAUGCUGAGUGAAUAAGAUUUCGAAGCACUACUUCCUGGCCAAACUCAGUACUCUGAGACCCAGCUAGAAACUGCAUGGAAAAUGCUGAGAAACAGAAGCUGUAGUCCAGCAUCAAGUGCCCUUUCUCUGCAUUUU